AUCUAAAUAGCUUAUAGUUAGAGCAUAAUAUUGAAGAUAUUAAGGAAAUAAAAUAUUUUUAGAUA
Molecule: transfer RNA, 65 nt
Filed under: Howea angulata
Lineage: Eukaryota; Metazoa; Arthropoda; Insecta; Coleoptera; Cerambycidae
Description: tRNA-Phe
Source: RNAcentral